Long non-coding RNA from Cucurbita moschata (crookneck pumpkin), 351 nucleotides. RefSeq lists it as uncharacterized. The transcript is spliced from 3 exons. NCBI's taxonomy places the organism in Eukaryota, Viridiplantae, Streptophyta, Magnoliopsida, Cucurbitales, Cucurbitaceae. The record is from RefSeq and is a predicted model, not a curated record.
UUUAUGCCAAACUUUAAUUCACAUCAAGACCUAAAAUUUCAAUAUCUUAAACAAAUUAGAACAAGACCCAUUUCAUAAAAUUGAAUCAAUUUGCUAAAUAAUACAAACAAGAUGUGAAGAACCCAAUCUAAUAUUUUGUUUUAGAUUCUUACAUAAAAGGAAGAAAAAAUAAAUUAAGUUGUUGGGUUCUUUAAUUUGUACAGCGAAUCCAGAGGAGUAAGCGUUUUCAGUCAAAUUUUCCUUGAAAUUCUUAGCUAUGGCGGAAAAUCAAACCAGUCCGGUAAGAUUUGGGAUCGGAAUCCGCCAUAGCCGCCGAGCUCGGCGGCGGUGUAAGAGAAGAAAUGGGUGUUU